Molecule: ribosomal RNA, 407 nt
Filed under: uncultured bacterium
Lineage: Bacteria
Description: partial 16S ribosomal RNA
Rfam family: Bacterial small subunit ribosomal RNA
Source: RNAcentral
AUUGAACGCUGGCGGCAGGCCUAACACAUGCAAGUCGAGCGGAGCGGCGGACGGGUGAGUAAUGCCUAGGAAUCUGCCUGGUAGUGGGGGAUAACGUCCGGAAACGGGCGCUAAUACCGCAUACUAUCAGAUGAGCCUAGGUCGGAUUAGCGAGUUGGUGGGGUAAAGGCCUACCAAGGCGACGAUCCGUAACUGGUCGGAGAGGGGGCUAAGUCACAUGGGAACUGAUACACGGUCCAGACGCCGACGGGAGGCAGCAGUGGGGAAUAGUGGACAAUGGGCGAAAGCCUGAUCCAGCCAUGCCGCGUGUGUGAAGGAGGUCUUCGGAUUGUAAAGCAGUUGAAGUUGGGAGGCGUUACCAAAAGAAUAAGCACCGGCUAACUUCGUGCCAGCAGCCGCGGUAAUUC